CGGCCAUCCGAGGGGCGCGUCUGGUAAGCGCUGAGAUGGAGCUGAAGUCAGCGAGGAAAAGUGGGAACCGUUUUCCGCCCGCGCUGACCGUUCAAAAGAACACCGCUCCAGCACCCUUUGAACCUGAUCCGGUUUGCGCCGGCGUAGGGACGGAAUGGCAUAGUGGG
This 167-nucleotide non-coding RNA is filed under the name Hyphomonas sp. RNAcentral's name for it is "TPP sequence". It matches the Rfam family "TPP riboswitch aptamer (THI element)". Rfam says of the family: Vitamin B(1) in its active form thiamin pyrophosphate (TPP) is an essential coenzyme that is synthesised by coupling of pyrimidine and thiazole moieties in bacteria. The previously detected thiamin-regulatory element, thi box was extended, resulting in a new, highly conserved RNA secondary structure, the THI element, which is widely distributed in eubacteria and also occurs in some archaea. The record is from RNAcentral. RNAcentral also lists the same sequence under 1 other name. Lineage: Bacteria; Pseudomonadati; Pseudomonadota; Alphaproteobacteria; Hyphomonadales; Hyphomonadaceae.